ACGAACGCUGGCGGCGUGCUUAACACAUGCAAGUCGAACGGAAAGGCCCUGCUUUUGUGGGGUGCUCGAGUGGCGAACGGGUGAGUAACACGUGAGUAACCUGCCCUUGACUUUGGGAUAACUUCAGGAAACUGGGGCUAAUACCGGAUAGGAGCUCCUGCUGCAUGGUGGGGGUUGGAAAGUUUCGGCGGUUGGGGAUGGACUCGCGGCUUAUCAGCUUGUUGGUGGGGUAGUGGCUUACCAAGGCUUUGACGGGUAGCCGGCCUGAGAGGGUGACCGGCCACAUUGGGACUGAGAUACGGCCCAGACUCCUACGGGAGGCAGCAGUGGGGAAUAUUGCACAAUGGGCGGAAGCCUGAUGCAGCAACGCCGCGUGCGGGAUGACGGCCUUCUGGUUGUAAACCGCUUUCGCCUGUGACGAAGCGUGAGUGACGGUAAUGGGUAAAGAAGCACCGGCUAACUACGUG
RNAcentral lists this ribosomal RNA (467 nucleotides) under uncultured bacterium. Its description in RNAcentral is "partial 16S ribosomal RNA". It matches the Rfam family "Bacterial small subunit ribosomal RNA", at positions 29 to 507 of the family's 1533-position model. The record is from RNAcentral.